This 441-nucleotide unclassified non-coding RNA is filed under the name uncultured fungus. RNAcentral's name for it is "partial contains small subunit ribosomal RNA, internal transcribed spacer 1, and 5.8S ribosomal RNA". The stretch from base 1 to 73 matches the Rfam family "Eukaryotic small subunit ribosomal RNA", at positions 1759 to 1831 of the family's 1831-position model. The record is from RNAcentral. Lineage: Eukaryota; Fungi.
GCAAACUUGGUCAUUUAGAGGAAGUAAAAGUCGUAACAAGGUUUCCGUAGGUGAACCUGCGGAAGGAUCAUUACAAAUCUUUUGCGAGUGCUGCCUAGCGUAGUAUCUCACAACAUUAGCACAAGGUCGCAAGGCCUUGAUGUUUACGCUUGUAUGUUUGACAGAGUUAGUUGAGACAAUAAUAAAGACAACUUUUAACAAUGGAUCUCUUGGCUCUUUAGAGGAAGUAAAAGUCGUAACAAGGUUUCCGUAGGUGAACCUGCGGAAGGAUCAUUACAAAUCUUUUGCGAGUGCUGCCUAGCGUAGUAUCUCACAACAUUAGCACAAGGUCGCAAGGCCUUGAUGUUUACGCUUGUAUGUUUGACAGAGUUAGUUGAGACAAUAAUAAAGACAACUUUUAACAAUGGAUCUCUUGGCUCUUGCAUCGAUGAAGAACGCAGC